UACGGAGGGUGCAAGCGUUAUCCGGAAUCAUUGGGUUUAAAGGGUCCGCAGGCGGUCUUAUAAGUCAGUGGUGAAAUCUCGCAGCUUAACUGCGAAACUGCCAUUGAUACUGUAGGACUUGAAUGUGGUCGAAGUGGGCGGAAUAUGACAUGUAGCGGUGAAAUGCUUAGAUAUGUCAUAGAACACCGAUAGCGAAGGCAGCUCACUAGGCCACGAUUGACGCUCAUGGACGAAAGCGUGGGGAGCAAACAGG
RNAcentral lists this ribosomal RNA (253 nucleotides) under uncultured bacterium. RNAcentral's name for it is "partial 16S ribosomal RNA". It matches the Rfam family "Bacterial small subunit ribosomal RNA", at positions 524 to 776 of the family's 1533-position model. The record is from RNAcentral.